This 97-nucleotide microRNA precursor is filed under the name Otolemur garnettii (small-eared galago). RNAcentral's name for it is "miRNA (ENSOGAG00000033194.1)". Lineage: Eukaryota; Metazoa; Chordata; Mammalia; Primates; Galagidae. The record is from RNAcentral.
UCUCCUGGGGAUCUCGUUUCAACCAGAUUCUGAUUCAGCACAUCUGAGGUGGGGCCUGCGAUUCUGCAUUUCUAGCAAGUUCUCUGGGUGAUGCCUC